AUCGACACGGAGGGGGGGAGGAGGAGGAGGAGGAGGGGGAGGAGUGGAAUGUACCAAGUCACGGCUCCCCUGAGGUGAUGGUGCUCCCGCGUCAGACCUGUCGAGCUGAGGAAACUGGAUCUCCCGCUCCCCAAAGUGCUGGAGAGACCCGCGGUUGCAUGCCUAAGAUAUCUCCUCGGCUGGCAGUCCACUCCUCUGAGAUUUCACAGACUCAGCCAAGCACACAGAUGUGCGGUAAACCCAAACAACACAGUGACGCGGGUACGGAUCGCAGCAGCAGCAGCAGCAGC
Molecule: long non-coding RNA, 290 nt
Organism: Solea solea (common sole)
Lineage: Eukaryota; Metazoa; Chordata; Actinopteri; Pleuronectiformes; Soleidae
Exons: 3
Source: RefSeq, a predicted model, not a curated record